AAAAAAAAAAAGAAGAUUGGCAACAGUUGUUAGCUCAGGUGCCAAUCUUUAGAAAAAAAACAAUUUUAGGGGAAUUGGAAUGUUUGAACAGGCUUUACAGAAAGUGGUUGUGUCUCUUUUAUCUGACUGAAUUAUGAGGAUGGACAUUGUGUCUGACUGGGCAACGUUUCUCCUACCGGGUAUUGUAAAACAGAAGGCGAGCAAAUCCACCCUUCAAGCAAUAUUCACUGGACAUGUUAAAUGGGAACCAGUCAGAUUGCUGGAGCCCCGCAGUCAGAACAGAAGCUGGAGGGUGCUGGGGACGUAGUCUCUGUGCAAUGGCCCUGUGUGGAGUGUAGACUGCAGCUUACGGCAAGACCCUGUGAGCGCCUCCCGGCGAUGACUACUGGGGCUUGGGAUAAGAGACUCCAUUUCAGGGGCAUUUACUAGCUUGCUAUUGGGCAUUAAUUGCAACUGCCACUAUGGCUAAAGGACAAAAAGUAAUCUUGAGACCUGAAAUACCCAUGAUGUCUUGGGUGGUGUCAGAGAAACACUAACGGGGAUCGCAGUGCCCAGAAGUGUUCCAUCAUAAAACAGAAAUGAUUUACGCAGCACCAUGCUGCCUGGACAAUGCGAGGAGGACAUCCUUGUGGGCAGGGAGCCUCUCGUCCCCUAGGAUGACUCUGAACCGCGUCAGGAUUCCAUCGUCACUUGUACGGUGCCCUAUAAACAGCUCUAGACUGACCGGCCAAGAACUGCUUGGUGCGUGACUGGCAGUUCCAAGGUGAACGGUCACAUCCCGUUUGAAAGGCCUCCACUCUGAUGGAAGAAGUGGUCACAGGAGCAGGGCUGCAACUGCACGUGCUGGAAGCAGGGAUGAUGCCUAAACAAGAAACUGUAACUGCGUUUUUAAACCUUCUGUCAGAAUCCCUGAGGGCCAGAUGGGGUGGUUGUGCCUUCACCCCAUCGGGCUAAACUGGGGUUAACCGUGAAUGAGGCCAUAUUGCCUGGUAGUAAAAAUGCCCCGCUCGUUCUGCGCCUGUGUAACUUUACCCCAUGUGACGGGAGUGGACUGUGGGGGAGGGACUUGCUGGACCAGUAUCGCUGCCUGCAACCCGGACCAGCAGCGUGGCCGAAACUACAUCCCUUCCAAAGGUGGAAAAGUAUGCCAGCCUGACCCCAUCUUGCCUUGGUUCUUUUUGGCCCCACGUAGAACAUUUGAACAAACAUAUUGCUCACUUUUGAGCCUCUGACACCCUCAGCAGGAAUGACCCCAUUGACUUCUACCUUCGUUUCGACAGACUCUCUUCUUAAACUUUAGUUAGGUCCCUCAGCGUUGGCCUAUAAGAACUGCAAUUCUCCACACAAACGAUUUUGUCCACCCGUCA
Non-coding RNA from Equus caballus (horse), 1367 nucleotides. Lineage: Eukaryota; Metazoa; Chordata; Mammalia; Perissodactyla; Equidae. The record is from RefSeq and is a predicted model, not a curated record.